UCGAACGAACUCUGGUAUUGAUUGGUGCUUGCAUCAUGAUUUACAUUUGAGUGAGUGGCGAACUGGUGAGUAACACGUGGGAAACCUGCCCAGAAGCGGGGGAUAACACCUGGAAACAGAUGCUAAUACCGCAUAACAACUUGGACCGCAUGGUCCGAGUUUGAAAGAUGGCUUCGGCUAUCACUUUUGGAUGGUCCCGCGGCGUAUUAGCUAGAUGGUGAGGUAACGGCUCACCAUGGCAAUGAUACGUAGCCGACCUGAGAGGGUAAUCGGCCACAUUGGGACUGAGACACGGCCCAAACUCCUACGGGAGGCAGCAGUAGGGAAUCUUCCACAAUGGACGAAAGUCUGAUGGAGCAACGCCGCGUGAGUGAAGAAGGGUUUCGGCUCGUAAAACUCUGUUGUUAAAGAAGAACAUAUCUGAGAGUAACUGUUCAGGUAUUGACGGUAUUUAACCAGAAAGCCACGGCUAACUACGUGCCAGCAGCCGCGGUAAUACGUAGGUGGCAAGCGUUGUCCGGAUUUAUUGGGCGUAAAGCGAGCGCAGGCGGUUUUUUAAGUCUGAUGUGAAAGCCUUCGGCUCAACCGAAGAAGUGCAUCGGAAACUGGGAAACUUGAGUGCAGAAGAGGACAGUGG
This 637-nucleotide ribosomal RNA is filed under the name Lactiplantibacillus plantarum. RNAcentral's name for it is "bacterial SSU rRNA". It matches the Rfam family "Bacterial small subunit ribosomal RNA", at positions 62 to 664 of the family's 1533-position model. Lineage: Bacteria; Bacillati; Bacillota; Bacilli; Lactobacillales; Lactobacillaceae. The record is from RNAcentral.